AGCUAAUAGAUACCCGGGUAGUCCACGCCGUAAACGAUGGACGCUCGGCGUGUGGUGGCGGUAUCCGUCACGGCGCGCCUUAGCUAACGCGGUAAGCGUCCCGCCUGGGAACUACGAGCGCAAGCUUAAAACUCAAAGGAAUUGACGGGGGCCCGGCACAAGCAGCGGAGCGUGUGGUUUAAUUCGACGCAACGCGCAGAACCUUACCCAGGUUUGUACAUGCUACUGCAAGCCGGUGAAAGCCGGUCGCCUUCGAGGGUGUAGCACAGAUGCUGCAUGGCUGUCGUCAGCUCGUGUCGUGAGAUGUUGGGUUAAGUCCCGCAACGAGCGCAACCCUACGGUCAGUUAUAUGUGUCUGGCCGGACUGCCCACUUUGGGAGGAAGGCGGGGAUGACGUCAAGUCCGCAUGGCUCUUACGCCUGGGGCGACACACACGCUACAAUGCCACCGACAGCGCGCAGCGACCGUGCAAACGGAAGCAAAUCGUGAAACGGUGGCCCAGUGCAGAUUGGGGGUCUGCAACUCGCCCCC
This 531-nucleotide ribosomal RNA is filed under the name uncultured bacterium. Its description in RNAcentral is "bacterial SSU rRNA". It matches the Rfam family "Bacterial small subunit ribosomal RNA", at positions 767 to 1319 of the family's 1533-position model. The record is from RNAcentral.